This 561-nucleotide ribosomal RNA is filed under the name uncultured Glomus. Its description in RNAcentral is "SSU rRNA". It matches the Rfam family "Eukaryotic small subunit ribosomal RNA", at positions 548 to 1103 of the family's 1831-position model. Lineage: Eukaryota; Fungi; Glomeromycota; Glomeromycetes; Glomerales; Glomeraceae. The record is from RNAcentral.
UUGGAGGGCAAGUCUGGUGCCAGCAGCCGCGGUAAUUCCAGCUCCAAUAGCGUAUAUUAAAGUUGUUGCAGUUAAAAAGCUCGUAGUUGAAUUUCGGGAUUGACGUGACGGUCGUGCCUUAAGGGGUAUGAACUGUCGCUGUUGAUUUCUCACCUUCUGGAGAAUCUCGAUGCCCUUUAUUGGGUGUCUUGUGGAUCCAGGACCUUUACCUUGAAAAAAUUAGAGUGUUUAAAGCAGGCAUUUUUGCUCGAAUACAUUAGCAUGGAAUAAUAGAAUAGGACGGCUUGGUUCUAUUUUGUUGGUUUCUAGGAUCACCGUAAUGAUUAAUAGGGAUAGUUGGGGGCAUUAGUAUUCAAUUGUCAGAGGUGAAAUUCUUGGAUUUAUUGAAGACUAACUACUGCGAAAGCAUUUGCCAAGGAUGUCUUCAUUAAUCAAGAACGAAAGUUAGGGGAUCGAAGACGAUCAGAUACCGUCGUAGUCUUAACCAUAAACUAUGCCGACUAGGAAUCAGACGAUGUUAAUUUUUUAAUGACUCGUUUGGCACCUUAUGGGAAACCAAAG